RNAcentral lists this ribosomal RNA (988 nucleotides) under uncultured bacterium. RNAcentral's name for it is "bacterial SSU rRNA". It matches the Rfam family "Bacterial small subunit ribosomal RNA", at positions 28 to 1006 of the family's 1533-position model. The record is from RNAcentral.
AUUGAACGCUGGCGGCAGGCCUAACACAUGCAAGUCGAGCGGUAACACAAGGGAGCUUGCUUCUGAGGUGACGAGCGGCGGACGGGUGAGUAAUGCCUAGGGAUCUGCCCAGUCGAGGGGGAUAACAGUUGGAAACGACUGCUAAUACCGCAUACGCCCUACGGGGGAAAGGAGGGGACCUUCGGGCCUUCCGCGAUUGGAUGAACCUAGGUGGGAUUAGCUAGUUGGUGAGGUAAUGGCUCACCAAGGCGACGAUCCCUAGCUGUUCUGAGAGGAUGAUCAGCCACACUGGACUGAGACACGGCCCAGACUCCUACGGGAGGCAGCAGUGGGGAAUAUUGCACAAUGGGGGAAACCCUGAUGCAGCCAUGCCGCGUGUGUGAAGAAGGCCUUCGGGUUGUAAAGCACUUUCAGUAGGGAGGAAAGGUAAUAGUUUAAUAAACUAUUACUGUGACGUUACCUACAGAAGAAGGACCGGCUAACUCCGUGCCAGCAGCCGCGGUAAUACGGAGGGUCCGAGCGUUAAUCGGAAUUACUGGGCGUAAAGCGUGCGCAGGCGGUUUGUUAAGCCAGAUGUGAAAUCCCCGGGCUCAACCUGGGAAUUGCAUUUGGAACUGGCGAACUAGAGUCUUGUAGAGGGGGGUAGAAUUCCAGGUGUAGCGGUGAAAUGCGUAGAUAUCUGGAGGAAUACCGGUGGCGAAGGCGGCCCCCUGGACAAAGACUGACGCUCAUGCACGAAAGCGUGGGGAGCAAACAGGAUUAGAUACCCUGGUAGUCCACGCCGUAAACGAUGUCUACUCGGAGUUUGGUGACUUAGUCACUGGGCUCCCAAGCUAACGCAUUAAGUAGACCGCCUGGGGAGUACGGCCGCAAGGUUAAAACUCAAAUGAAUUGACGGGGGCCCGCACAAGCGGUGGAGCAUGUGGUUUAAUUCGAUGCAACGCGAAGAACCUUACCUACUCUUGACAUCCACAGAAGAGACCAGAGA